AAAUUUAAAUUUAUUUUGGUAGGAUGUGUUAAUUGGUCUCUAGUAGCAGUAUGUUAUAGUGUCAUUCAGGUUUCACCAAAUGGGAUUUCACAUAGAAGUAAAAUAAAAAUCUCUUAAAUUUAAAUUUAUUUUGGUAGGAUGUGUUAAUUGGUCUCUAGUAGCAGUAUGUUAUAGUGUCAUUCAGGUUUCACCAAAUGGGAUUUCACAUAGAAGUAAAAUAAAAAUCUCUUAAAUUUAAAUUUAUUUUGGUAGGAUGUGUUAAUUGGUCUCAAGUAGCAGUAUGUUAUAGUGUCAUUCAGGUUUCAGCAACUGGGGCACCUUAUUUUCGGUAUGUGCUUCUGUCAUAGCUUCUGGUAUCACUUGCUAGAUUCAGUGGUCGUACUGAAUGAUUUACUAAUAUGGAAGGUCAGUAGAGCUCUGUUAGCAUGAUCUUCAUGAGUUUGGAU
RNAcentral lists this long non-coding RNA (446 nucleotides) under Hordeum vulgare. RNAcentral's name for it is "long non-coding RNA (HVUL_LNC015551)". Lineage: Eukaryota; Viridiplantae; Streptophyta; Magnoliopsida; Poales; Poaceae. The record is from RNAcentral.